AUUGAACGCUGGCGGCAGGCCUAACACAUGCAAGUCGAGCGGAUGAAGGGAGCUUGCUCCUGGAUUCAGCGGCGGACGGGUGAGUAAUGCCUAGGAAUCUGCCUGGUAGUGGGGGAUAACGUCCGGAAACGGGCGCUAAUACCGCAUACGUCCUGAGGGAGAGAGUGGGGGAUCUUCGGACCUCACGCUAUCAGAUGAGCCUAGGUCGGAUUAGCUAGUUGGUGGGGUAAAGGCCUACCAAGGCGACGAUCCGUAACUGGUCUGAGAGGAUGAUCAGUCACACUGGAACUGAGACACGGUCCAGACUCCUACGGGAGGCAGCAGUGGGGAAUAUUGGACAAUGGGCGAAAGCCUGAUCCAGCCAUGCCGCGUGUGUGAAGAAGGUCUUCGGAUUGUAAAGCACUUUAAGUUGGGAGGAAGGGCAGUAAGUUAAUACCUUGCUGUUUUGACGUUACCAACAGAAUAGGCACCGGCUAACUUCGUG
Molecule: ribosomal RNA, 484 nt
Filed under: uncultured bacterium
Lineage: Bacteria
Description: partial 16S ribosomal RNA
Rfam family: Bacterial small subunit ribosomal RNA
Source: RNAcentral